UAGGGAAUCUUCGGCAAUGGACGAAAGUCUGACCGAGCAACGCCGCGUGAGUGAAGAAGGUUUUCGGAUCGUAAAACUCUGUUGUUAGAGAAGAACAAGGACGUUAGUAACUGAACGUCACCUGACGGUAUCUAACCAGAAAGCCACGGCUAACUACGUGCCAGCAGCCGCGGUAAUACGUAGGUGGCAAGCGUUGUCCGGAUUUAUUGGGCGUAAAGCGAGCGCAGGCGGUUUCUUAAGUCUGAUGUGCAAGCCCCCGGCUCAACCGGGGAGGGUCAUUGGAAACUGGGAGACUUGCGUGCAGAAGAGGAGAGUGGAAUUCCAUGUGUAGCGGUGAAAUGCGUAGUUAUAUGGAGGAACACCGGUGGCGAAGGCGGCUCUCUGGUCUGUAACUGACGCUGAGGCUCGAAAGCGUGGGGAGCAAACAGG
This 429-nucleotide ribosomal RNA is filed under the name Gemmatimonadota bacterium. RNAcentral describes it as "Gemmatimonadetes bacterium partial 16S ribosomal RNA". It matches the Rfam family "Bacterial small subunit ribosomal RNA", at positions 355 to 776 of the family's 1533-position model. Lineage: Bacteria; Pseudomonadati; Gemmatimonadota. The record is from RNAcentral.